RNAcentral lists this long non-coding RNA (1400 nucleotides) under Amborella trichopoda. Its description in RNAcentral is "long non-coding RNA (ATRI_LNC003784)". Lineage: Eukaryota; Viridiplantae; Streptophyta; Magnoliopsida; Amborellales; Amborellaceae. The record is from RNAcentral.
UCCAUUCCUGCUAACGCAUUCAAAACCACCAACUAUAUUUCUAAAAACGGUUAGGGGCCUUUAUUUCCCACUGAUCGAAGCAAUAAAACAAAAAUUGAAGAUCCAUGGAUCAAUUACUAAGUCAUGUUAAUUUCUUUGGAGUUUCCAUUUUUAAAGCUCUGCAAGUUGGUUUGAAUGAUAGUUUGAUGUUGAAAUAAGUAUCUUUAAUGCAUGUAUGUUCAGUUAUCUUGUCGCAUUUGAUGGAGUGUGCCAUCUUUUUAAGCUCUCACGUUUUAUUGCUCUUGUCAAAUUGAAGUCAUAUGGAAAUUUGAUGCGUCAUGUUAACAUGUUAGGUGUUUGCUGGAUCACUGGAUUUCCAGGAUCUAAUUUACAUAAGAGUGUUUUUGGGAAUUUGAUUCAAACAAAUGACAAUUGGCUUGAUUAUGCAGAGGAUAGGUUUAGUUAGGUUUAAAAGAAUUAAGAUUUCAGUAGCUGAAGAUUGUUGUUUGAUCCCCAGGUAUUAUAUCUUAAUAUGGUGUCUUUGUUUAGUGUUAUGUAGAGAUUCACGGACUGGAUUUAUCGAGACUUUACAAGGUCCAACUCCAAGUUGGAUUUCAUGGCAAUUGCAACUUUAGGAGUAGAUUCAGUUGUUAUUGAAAGAACAAAGGAGCUGGAGUGAACUUUCGUGCAUUUAGCAGAGAUAUUUAGUUGGAAUUUAUUGGAUAUUGACUUAAAAUCUGUGGUUUUAGCUUAGCAUCAGUCGCAAUUCAAAACAGAACAUAACAUGUUGUCUAUCAAAUAAAUCUUCCGAUGUUGCAUACUCAGGUCUUGAAUCUUAGGAUCUUCUGUUUAUCAAGGUUCUACUAAAAUUCAAUAAUGAAAAGGACAAAAAGAACUAUCAAAAGAAACUUGAAUGAAGUUCAUGAUCUCUGAAUCUCCACCUCUAAAGCUCUGCUGAAACCAUACUGCUAUCAGACUGACUAGUGGUUUAUUUGGUGUGCUUUGUUAGACAAACUUGUGAUCUGUUUUUGAAUUGUGUACCAUGGGAUUCCAGUCAUAAAUUCCUGUAUUAAUUUUGCAACAGAGAGAAAACUAUUGAUCCUGAGACUGAUGUAUUAUACGUCAUCAAAUACUUUUGCAGGUGGGGGCAAUCGCACUCUUGGCUUUGACAGGACUAUUAACUUUCAUGCUAUUCUUGUCUGUGGCCACAGCAAAUGCAGUUAUAAUAUCGCUCUUCGUGUCUUUCGCAGCAGCUGGUGGCUUCUUAGCAAUUUUCUUUGCGUGUGUAACUGCAAUUUACAUUGCAGUUCUAUCCAUUGCUGCAUUCGUGAUUUCCACUGUUACUCUGGUGACCAUAUUUGCAGUAUUUGUUGCCACAGGUAUAUAGCUUUUUAGUUGACAACAUCUCUCUCUCUCUCUCU